UACGAAGGGGGCUAGCGUUGCUCGGAAUCACUGGGCGUAAAGGGUGCGUAGGCGGGUUUUUAAGUCAGGGGUGAAAUCCUGGAGCUCAACUCCAGAACUGCCUUUGAUACUGAAGAUCUUGAGUUCGGGGAGAGGUGAGUGGAACUGCGAGUGUAGAGGUGAAAUUCGUAGAUAUUCGCAAGAACACCAGUGGCGAAGGCGGCUCACUGGCCCGAUACUGACGCUGAGGCACGAAAGCGUGGGGAGCAAACAGG
This 254-nucleotide ribosomal RNA is filed under the name uncultured bacterium. Its description in RNAcentral is "partial 16S ribosomal RNA". It matches the Rfam family "Bacterial small subunit ribosomal RNA", at positions 524 to 776 of the family's 1533-position model. The record is from RNAcentral.